GCUAUCUUUCGGGGUGGUCAAUUGGUUGUUAUAUCUCCACUAAUGAGCAGAGAGGGGUUAAACCUUCAAAGUGAGUUAUGUGGAUCAAGGUAUAAUGAUUAAUUGGAGUUCUAGUUCAUUUACUUUGAGAAAAUUAGAGUGUUUAAAGCAGCCUCUUGGGGCACUGAAUACAUUAGCAUGGGAUAAUAAAAUAGGAUCUUCACAAUAUAUUUUAUUGGUUUAAAUUGGAUAUGAAGAUAAUGAUUAAUAGGGACAGUUGGGGGUAUUCAUAUUGGGUGGUUAGCGGUGAAAUGCUCGGAUCCAUUCAAGAUGAACUAAAGCGAAAGCAUUUACCAAGGAUGUUUUCAUUAAUCAAGAACGAAAGUUAAGGGAUCGAAGACGAUUAGAUACCGUCGUAGUCUUAACUAUAAACUAUGCCGACCAGGG
RNAcentral lists this ribosomal RNA (426 nucleotides) under uncultured eukaryote. RNAcentral's name for it is "bacterial SSU rRNA". It matches the Rfam family "Eukaryotic small subunit ribosomal RNA", at positions 634 to 1051 of the family's 1831-position model. The record is from RNAcentral.